CAAAAUAUAUAUUAACAAAGGACAUGUAUUAACAUAUCAAGAAAUCUUACAACUCAAUGAGGAAAAAAAUUUUAAAUUUGGAAAAGUGUGGAUACUUUACCAAGAAAAUAUACAGAUAGUAAAUAGAUACACAAAAAAGAUGCACAACAUCUUUAGUCACAGGAAAAUGCAAAUUAAAACCAUAAUGAAAUAACACUACAAACUCACUAGAAUGACUAAAAUUAAAAAGAUUGAUAAUAUCAAAUGUUGGUAAAGACGUGAAACAACUAGAAUUGGAACUCUCUUACACUGCUAACAUGAAUAACUGCAUAACAGUCUGGCAUUUUUUUAAAAAGUCGAACAUACACCUACCAUACAACUCUUAUUUACCCCAGAGAUUUGAAAGUAUAUGUGCACACCAAGAUUUCUACACAAAUAUUCAGAGUAACUUCAUUUGAAAGAGCUUAAAACUGAAAGUAACCCAAAUAAAUGUUCAUUAUUAGGUAAACACAUAAACUGUAGUUCAUCUGCAGAACUAGUCAUCAAUAUAAAGGAAUGAACUAUUGAUACAUGCAACAACAUGGAUGAAUCUCAAAGCACGGUAAGUAAAAGAAGUGAGAUAAAACUGAAUCUAUAUUUAUGAUUCCACUCAUAUAAAAUUCUAGAAAAUACAAACUAAUCUGGACUUAAAGUAGAUCAGUAGUUGCACAGGGAUGGAAUGGGAAUGGAUGAUAAGGGGCAAAAGGAACCUUGGGAAUGAUAAAUGUUUUUUAUUUUGAUUAUUGUGGCAGAUAUGUGGAUAUAUACUCGUAUAUGUCAAUAUUUACCAAAUGUUAACAAAAAUAUAUUUACCAAAUGUUUACAUGCAAUUUAUUGUAUCGCUAUUUGUCAAUAAAAGAUAAAAUAACAAAGGUCACAUCUGCUCUAUCAUAAAUCACUAGAAAACUGGGCAAAAUACAUAAAAGAACUGUUUCAAACAAUGGACAAUAGACAAAGCAAGACUGUUAUCCCUGAGAGAAGAGAAACAAAAGAAAUGAGCUCUAUGACUGCUCCAUCUUUCUGUCUGGAUGCAUUUUCCUAACAGUGGUACAGGGAGGGGAACUCAACCAGAGCCCAGAAUGCUGAGUAUGAAAGGACAGAGAUGGGAGUUCGUGGGAGACUGACUGGUUGUUGGGCACAGGACAGAGCUCUAGAGAGAAGGGAACUAUGCAGAAAAGGAACUCCAUAUAAGUACCCUUCAGUCUUUGUUUUAGCCCAAACAUGCAUGAAAUGACUCAUGCGGUUGAGCAAAAAAGAUGUAUCAGUUUUAAACUGAAUAAUUCCCAGAGGUGUGCAGGGCAAGAAGUUUCAACCAAUUGAAGCCUUGAGUCCUGGGUGGUCAACUAGGGCAUUCAUUGUCAACCACAAAGAGGCUACCCCACAGUACUAUGACUGAAGUCUCUCUUUUAAAAAAAAUUUUUAUUUAUUUAUUUAUUCAUGAGAGACACAGAGAGAGAGGCAGAGACACAGGCAGAGGGAGAAGCAGGCUCCAUGCAGGGAGCCCCAUGCGGCACUUGAUCCCAGGUCUCCAGGAUCACGCCCUGAGCCGAAGGCAGACGCCCAACCACUGAGCCACCCAGAUGUCCCUGACUGAAACACCUCUUGAAUGAAAUCUAUUCUAGCUCCACCAUAACAACCUAUAAACAAGGCUCAAGUUUGUCACACUGAUCAACAGAUAAAUGCCUUUCACUUCUUGAAGGAAAACAACAAAAUCCAAACAUUCAAUAAUACAGUAAUUAUAAUGCCCAGCACCCAAUAAAAAGUCAUUAGGCAUGCCAGAACCCAAGAAGAUGAUCCCCAACCAGGAGAAAAUUCAUACAAAAGAAAUGCUAAGAGAGGUUACAUCAGCAGACAAGGAACUCAGAUACUGCAUUCAUAUAGUCAAAGGCAAAGAACAUAAUGAAGAGAGAAAUCAAACUCAUUUAAAAAACCCAUAUAGAACUUUUAGAGAUUAAAAGACAAUGUAUGAGAUAGAAUUUUCACAUGAUAAGAUUAACAGUGGAUUAGACAUUGCAGUAGAAAAGACUGGUAAACAUGAAAGCACAAAGAUAAAAUGAAUGAAAAAAUAAAAGUUCAGUGACUUCUGAGGGAACACUGGGUUCAAAAUUACACGUAAAUGAAGUCUCGGAACAAGACUGUAGAAACAAUAUAGGAAGAAAAAUGGCCAGUAUUUUCCAAUUUGAUUAAAACAAAAUACACACACCAACACACAUCAUAACCAAAUUGCUAUAAGCAGUGAUAAAUAGAAAAUCUUAAAGCAACCAGGAAGAGCAAGAGACGGGCUAGGGGAGGAAUAUCUCAUCCCCACACCCCCACGCCACCCCAACUAGCAUAACCUAGGAAGGUUAUGCAAUUGCCUGAAUGAUGCAAGACUUCUAGACAGUGUGCUAGGGUAAGUUCCACUGCGUGACAAAUGUCAAGGGACUGAUACUUCAGACAAGGGGCUCACUGUGUUGUCCCAAGGAGAGGCUUCUAGAGCUCUAAGUCCCAACCCAAAUCCCUCGCAGCUGGACAUGGAAGCCUUGGAAGGAAAGAUAGCCACUUAGGAGCAGGCCAUCAACCUCCCCUCCAUUUUCCAAAUAGAGAAACUGAAAAGCAUGGUUUUCUCCAUAUGGGAAAAGGCAGAUCUGUAGGACAGAAGUUUCUAGCCGUCAACGUCUGGGCUGUGGGGCCAGCACUCUUAUACUGCAUUGUAAUGAAAAAUCAAAUUUUCUGUUAUAGGAGAAAAUACCCAUGGUACCCUUGUGGUACAACCAAGACAUGAAUUCAAAUCUAAUUUAAGCCUGAGGUACUUAAACCAUACAGUCAUCACUACGAGGGAGGUCCCUGACCCUAACAAUACUGAUUUGAGGCUCUCCAGAGAAAAAAGAUGAAUGAGCAGACUAAAGAACCUCUCCCCCUCCCCCUGCCAUAUCCAAUGAGGGCAGGAGGAGGGAUAUCUGGGGGAGUGGGGGGGGGGUAAGGAAGGAAAAAACAAAAGAAAGAUAAAAGAAAGAAAAAAGACAAUCAGGAAAAGUGAAUAAAAUAAAUGAACAUGGACACAUACACACUAUUAAAUUGAAACAAAGUUUCAUAAUUUGAGCCAAUUGGAAAUCCAAAAUUUACUGAAGGAAUUUACAUAACAAUAAGAUAAAAGGGCACUAAUUAGGUCUUAUGCCUCUACAAUGUAUAGGUUCUGAAAUAAUAUGUACUCAAAUAUGCCAAUUGGGGGUGCCUGGGGGCUCAGUCGGUUAAACAUCCCACCCUUGAUUUCAGCUCAGGUCAAGAUCUCAGGGUCCUGGAAUUGAGCUCUGCACUGCGUUCUGUUGCUCAAUGCAGAGUCUGCUUGUCCCUCCUCCCUCUGCUCCUCCCACUCCCCUCCUCCUCUUUCAAAUAAAUAAAUAUUAAAAUCUUUUUAAAAAAAUAAUAAAAUACACCAUUUGGGGCUCAAAUUUCAGUUAUACCUGGGGAUAAAUUUGAAUAUGGCACCCUGAUAAUUUGAGGAAAGUAAAUAUAGAGAAAACAUAGGCAUGCCUCAUUUUAACUACAGCCUUGCCUUUCCCAUAGCCAGAGGACCCACUGCCCUAAAAUAUUCCACAGUGAACGUGAGUAAUGAAUUAAAACUAAAUUAAGCCUUUGACACUUACAAACUGGUUUGACAAAAUAGGACCCCACGGGUCCCUGGAUAAUGUAGUUAAUAUGGCCCAAUGAGGGUUAAAAUAGGGUCUUCAAGUAUGGAAACUUAUAUAUGGCCCAAAUGAUGAAUGGGUGAUCAUUCCUACUGCUUCUCCACUUGACAGCCUACUUUUGCAAACUGUUCUUAAAUCUAGGAGAUGGAUGAUGCCUCAUGCUGGAUCACUGCAAUCUUAAAUGCUGAAGUCCCAUCCAUGAAGGCCCCCAUGCUCAACACCCAGUAUUACUGAAAUUAAUAAUGUCAUCCAAUCAGAAACCAGCUAAUAUGUUCAAUUUAGUGCCUAUUCAGAAAGUCUCUCAGCCAGUUUGCCUUCACCUUUGAAGGAACACAAAACACCUUGACCAGCCCGCCCACCCAAAUGAAAAUCAACGGGCACCUCCUUUAUAGACCUUCAGAGACUCCAUGGGUGUGGCUUUGACAACCUCCCCUCUUCCCUCCAGGUCUGUGGACCACCUCUGAUGGCCUUAAGUUGCCCUUUGGCUUCUGAUGGUGAAAACUACCCUUCUCAGUCUCAUGCUACCACUAGCGCAGAGAUUGCUGGCCACGUAUGGAGAUGCUCUGCAAAGAGUGGCUCCCACAGACUCCAAGCCUAUGAGUCUCCAUACCCAGCUCCCCAUUAAGCCUUGGGUCGUGGCAGCAGCACCCCACAAGUUCAGCACUGCUUCUGAGGCCUCUUUGUAGGACAGAGCCAAAAACGUGGGCCCAAGGGCUUGUUCCGAUUGCGAGAGAAAUGGCCUCCUUUGUCCUUAGCCUCUUGCCAGAUGUCAGCCCUCCUCCAGACCCUGGACUCCAUGGGGAACCGCCUGGGAUUAACUGAGGGAACAGCAGCGCAAGCUCACCGAGCGUACGGAUCAUACAUGAGGGAGCUCAGUGCAGUGCUGCUGCUUUUUAAUCCCUUAAUGAGGAUGUCCCUGAUACAGGGUAGGACGCAAUAGGUAGCAAAAGUGGUCAAAUUUCAGGCAGUCACCUUUGCACCACGUGCACUUUUACAAACUUUGAGGCCACUGCCUAAAAGUUGGUCCCCUCCCCUCAAUGAAAAAAACUCCAAAUCUCUUGCCUACAGAUACCCAAGAUAUAAAUCUUGGGUAUAAAGUCACGUGCCCCUAUAUACACUAAGGCCAUAAUACCAGGCCCCACCGGACACUCCUCAUCUCCGAGUUCCAGACAUUACUGAUAGUAACCAAGACACACAUUUUACUUCUCAAACUUCCCAAAUGCUGGGCUCUUAAAAAAGGCAUCCAACUGAGCUUUUAUCUUCCCUACAGGUCCCAGCCAGCCAGUUAGAUGAGAGCCAUAGUGGUCUCUUCAAAUAACUUCCUUUAAAACUCUAAUCUGCAAAUGGACCCCUAAAUGCAUCUCUAUCUUGCACCAGGCCUUAUUCUCUCUUAGUUUAAGGCUCCUUGGAUAGCUCACACCUUACACCAACUAAGCAAGCAAACAGCUUUCCAAGGCCCUUUCCUAUCCUGAGAGGGGGCAUGGCUGGCCUCUACGUAUAUGAAAACUCACCACAUAUGAGGCCUUUUGCUAAUGCCUCCAACUAUCUUUAAGGCUUUUCAAUCCUGCCUCCAUCCCGUGACUAUCUUCUGGAACCUGCCAACCACAAAUUUUCUGUCAGCCAGACAUCUGCUCAACUCAAAUGGGACCAUUUAAGCCUGAAUUUCCAUCAACCUCCCCCCCCCAAAAAAAACAACCUUCUUUAGUACUGAAUAGAAAUAGGUGGAUCAUUCUUCUGGGAUCUCCCUCCAGUCCCCGCAAGGACGUAAAACUGAGUUGUCCAGGGCCAUUCCCACAGACAGUGUGGACUGCUCAGAAGGAACCAGAAAAAUCCCACUUUGCAAAUGAAAACCAUCAGAGAUGAUAAUAAAGUCACCAUGGUGGGGAUCCCUGGGUGGCUCAGCAGUUUCGCACCUGCCUUCAGCCCACGGCGCGAUCCUGGAGUCCCGGGAUUGAGUCCCACGUCGGGCUCCCUGCGUGGAGUCUGCUUCUCCAUCUGCCUGUGUCUCUACCUCUCUCUAUAUAUAUGUCUAUCAUAAAUAAAUAAAAAAAUAAAUCUUUAAAAAAAUAAAGUCACCAUGGUGUCCCACCCUGAUGAGCCCAGACAGCCCCUUGUUGGUAAUCCUACCGCGGACUGGAGGCAACAGGUGCAGUCGCACACCACGCCACUGCCUAUUGGUCUUGUUACUUUUGGUCUGAGUGCUUUCCCUGGUUUGUGAUCCGGAAACCCAAAUCUUCCAAGUCAGUCACUGUUUCAACCAAACAGAGCAAGUGCCGAGCCCCACACGACCUCAAGUGUGGCAACGCCAGCGCUGCAGCCCUGAGGCCCUGCCAUUUGCCUGCCAACAAUGAAACCAGCACACGCAACAAAAGGCCCAUAAUAACUGGCUAAGUUGGAGGGGCUGCCCACAGUUUACCGCCGCAGCUGCAACACCUCAGAGAUUUGGACUGGCAAUCGUGCACCAGAGUAACGGCAUGCACCGAAGUCAGGCCGUAAGGUUGAAAAUCUAUUUGCAGCAGAACUCCUCUCAUCACCCAUCUGGGCAAAACCUUGGACUAUUGGGGAGAUUUUAGACUUGGCCACACUCCGAGGGGUUUGAUCGUGCCAGCUGGGUUCUGGUACUCUGGCCCGAUUAUGACAACAUCAGGGGUACCAGCAUCACUUUUGCUAGCUGUACACCCACAAAGUCCCCGCACUUAAGAGACACAAGUCAAACUCUCAGCCCAACAUUGCCUUCAAAUUCUACAAGCAGCUUAGUCUAAUAUUGUGGGUUGUAGGAGGGACAUUUAUAUUGGGACCCUGGGUGGCUCAGCAGUUGAGCAUCUGCCUUUGGUCCGGGGUGUGAUCCUGGAGACCCGGAAUUGAGUCCUGCGUCGGGCUCCCUGCGUGGAACCUGCUUCUCCCUCUGCCUGUGUCUCUGCCUCUCUCUCUCUCUCUCUCUGUCUCUCAUGAAUAAAUAAAAUCCUAAAAAAAAAAAAAAGAAAAAUGAGGGACGUUUAUACCCUCAGACACAAAAUACGUAACAACGCAGAAAAAAACCUAAAAUUCAUUAUAGUGUAAUUAGUUUUGUGAAUGUAAAAUUAAGGUGCUCGUAAUAAAACUGUUAGAGUUAGUGACUUUAAAGAUUUAUUUAUUUUAGAGAGAGCACGCACUUGUGUGCACACGAGCUGGGGGAGGAGCAGAAGGAGAGAACAGAGAGCAUCUCAAGCAGAUUCCUCAUUGGACUCGGAGCUGGCGAGGAGCUGACGCAGAGCCCGACACAGGGCUUGAUCCCAUGACCCUGUUUCAUGGCCCAAGCUGAAAUCAAGAGUCCACGCUCAACCCGCUGAACCACCCAGGUGUCCCUAGGGUUACUGACUUUAAGAUUAAAUGGUCAGAGUCUCAGGAUUUUACAGUUUGCGUUUUUCCUCUUGGUUCAAUUUUGUAAUUUCUAUCCUCAGAAAAUAAAAUACUCAAAAAACAAACCAAAAAACCUACGGCCCAUAACAACCUUAGUGGGUAUCCGCUUGGAAAGGAUACACCAGUCCCUCCCAGAUCACACUGCUCUGGCCCCGAAGUUCACCACUGCAGAAGACUUUGCCUUGGACGCCAUCACCCCAGCCCACGAUCGCCCCACUGGGGAGGACUGCACUCCAGGCACUGA
Molecule: long non-coding RNA, 7329 nt
Filed under: Canis lupus familiaris (dog)
Lineage: Eukaryota; Metazoa; Chordata; Mammalia; Carnivora; Canidae
Description: lncRNA (ENSCAFG00000053678.1)
Source: RNAcentral